GUGAAUCAUCGAAUCUUUGAACGCACAUUGCGCCCGCCAGUAUCCUGGCGGGCAUGCCUGUUCGAGCGUCAUUUCAACCCUCAGGCCCGGCCUGGUGUUGGGGCGCUGCGCCUCGCAGCCCCCGAAAGACAGCGGCGGUCCCGUCCCGGCACCGAGCGUAGUAGCACAUCUCGCUAUGGGCGUUCGGGCGGCGGCCGGCCGGAAAAUCGUUUUUCCUUGGUUGACCUCGGAUCAGGUAGGAAUACCCGCUGAACUUAAGCAUAUCAAUAAGCGGAGGA
This 278-nucleotide unclassified non-coding RNA is filed under the name Chaetosphaeriales sp. RNAcentral describes it as "partial contains 5.8S ribosomal RNA, internal transcribed spacer 2, and large subunit ribosomal RNA". The stretch from base 1 to 71 matches the Rfam family "5.8S ribosomal RNA", at positions 84 to 154 of the family's 154-position model. Lineage: Eukaryota; Fungi; Ascomycota; Sordariomycetes; Chaetosphaeriales. The record is from RNAcentral.